RNAcentral lists this ribosomal RNA (253 nucleotides) under uncultured bacterium. Its description in RNAcentral is "partial 16S ribosomal RNA". It matches the Rfam family "Bacterial small subunit ribosomal RNA", at positions 524 to 776 of the family's 1533-position model. The record is from RNAcentral.
UACGUCGGGUGCGAGCGUUAAUCGGAAUUACUGGGCGUACAGCGUGCGUAGGCGGUUCGCUGUGUCCGAUGUGAAAGCCCCGGGCUUAACCUGGGAAUGGCAUUGGAAACUGGCGGGCUUGAGUGCGGCAGAGGGGGGUGGAAUUCCGCGUGUAGCAGUGAAAUGCGUAGAGAUCCGGAAGAACACCGGUGGCGAAGGCGGCCUGCUGGGACAUGGCUGACGCUGAGGCGCGACAGCGUGGGGAGCAAACAGG